RNAcentral lists this ribosomal RNA (497 nucleotides) under uncultured bacterium. RNAcentral describes it as "partial 16S ribosomal RNA". It matches the Rfam family "Bacterial small subunit ribosomal RNA", at positions 28 to 507 of the family's 1533-position model. The record is from RNAcentral.
GAUGAACGCUGGCGGCGUGCCUAAUACAUGCAAGUCGAGCGAACGGACGCGAAGCUUGCUUCUCUGAUGUUAGCGGCGGACGGGUGUGUAACACGUGGAUCACCUACCUAUCAGACUGGGAUCACUUCGGGAAACCGGAGCUAAUACCGGAUGAUAUUUUGAUCCGCAUUGUUCGAUAGUGAAAGACGGUCUUGCUGUCACUUAUAGAUGGAUCCACGCUGCAUUAGCUAGUUGGUAAGGUAACGGCUUACCAAGGCAACGCUGCAUAGCCGACGUGAUAGGGUGAUCGGCCACACGAGAACGGAGACACGGUCCAUGCGACUACGGGAGGCAGCAGUAUGGAAUCGGACGCAGUGGGCGAGAACAUGGCGGAGCAGGGCCGCGUGAGAGAUGGAGGUCUCCGGAUCGUAAAACUCUGUUACUAGUGAAGAACAGAUGUGGAAUUAACCGAGGACAUCGUGACGGUACUUAAUCAGAAAGCCACGGCUAACUACGUG